GUGGGGAAUAUUGCACAAUGGGGGAAACCCUGAUGCAGCGACGCCGCGUGAGUGAAGAAGUAUUUCGGUACGUAAAGCUCUAUCAGCAAGGAAGAAAAUGACGGUACUUGACUAAGAAGCCCCGGCUAACUACGUGCCAGCAGCCGCGGUAAUACGUAGGGGGCAAGCGUUAUCCGGAUUUACUGGGUGUAAAGGGAGCGUAGACGGUAUGGUAAGUCAGAUGUGAAAGCCCGGGGCUCAACCCCGGGACUGCAUUUGAAACUAUCAGACUAGAGUGCAGGAGAAGUAAGUGGAAUUCCUAGUGUAGCGGUGAAAUGCGUAGAUAUUAGGAGGAACACCAGUGGCGAAGGCGGCUUACUGGACUGUAACUGACGUUGAGGCUCGAAAGCGUGGGGAGCAAACAGGAUUAGAAACCCGGGUAGUCC
Molecule: ribosomal RNA, 425 nt
Filed under: uncultured bacterium
Lineage: Bacteria
Description: partial 16S ribosomal RNA
Rfam family: Bacterial small subunit ribosomal RNA
Source: RNAcentral